Molecule: ribosomal RNA, 534 nt
Filed under: Hortaea werneckii
Lineage: Eukaryota; Fungi; Ascomycota; Dothideomycetes; Mycosphaerellales; Teratosphaeriaceae
Description: partial large subunit ribosomal RNA
Rfam family: Eukaryotic large subunit ribosomal RNA
Source: RNAcentral
AAAUUUGAAAUCUGGCGCAGGCCCGAGUUGUAAUUUGUAGAGGAUGCUUCUGGGCAGCGGCCGGUCUAAGUUCCUUGGAACAGGACGUCAUAGAGGGUGAGAAUCCCGUAUGCGACCGGCUUGCACCCGUCACGUAGCUCCUUCGACGAGUCGAGUUGUUUGGGAAUGCAGCUCUAAAUGGGAGGUAAAUUUCUUCUAAGGCUAAAUACCGGCCAGAGACCGAUAGCGCACAAGUAGAGUGAUCGAAAGAUGAAAAGCACUUUGGAAAGAGAGUUAAAAAGCACGUGAAAUUGUUGAAAGGGAAGCUCACGCAACCAGACUUGUCGGCGGUGUUCCGCCGGUCUUCUGACCGGUCUACUCGCCGCCGGCAGGCCAGCAUCACUUGGGAGCGCCGGAUAAAGGCGUGCGGAAUGUAGCCCCUCGGGGCAUUAUAGCCGCGCGCACAAUACGGCGCCUCCCGAGUGAGGUCCGCGCUUCGGCUAGGAUGCUGGCGUAAUGGUUGCUUGAGGCCCGUCUUGAAACACGGACCAAGGA